UUUAUAUAUCUUAUGCUAUAGAGUUUAAUAUUGAAGCUAUUAAAGAAGGAUUUAUCCUUAUAAAU
RNAcentral lists this transfer RNA (65 nucleotides) under Megacrania alpheus adan. RNAcentral's name for it is "tRNA-Phe". Lineage: Eukaryota; Metazoa; Arthropoda; Insecta; Phasmatodea; Phasmatidae. The record is from RNAcentral.